This 93-nucleotide transfer RNA is filed under the name Sphingomonas psychrolutea. Its description in RNAcentral is "tRNA-Ser". It matches the Rfam family "tRNA". From Rfam's summary of the family: Transfer RNA (tRNA) molecules are approximately 80 nucleotides in length. Their secondary structure includes four short double-helical elements and three loops (D, anti-codon, and T loops). Lineage: Bacteria; Pseudomonadati; Pseudomonadota; Alphaproteobacteria; Sphingomonadales; Sphingomonadaceae. The record is from RNAcentral. RNAcentral also lists the same sequence under 3 other names.
GGAGACGUGGGUGAGUGGCUGAAACCAGCGGUUUGCUAAACCGCCGUGGGGGGUUUACUCCCACCGAGGGUUCGAAUCCCUCCGUCUCCGCCA